AUUGAACGCUGGCGGCAUGCCUUACACAUGCAAGUCGAACGGUAACAGGUCUUCGGAUGCUGACGAGUGGCGUACGGGUGAGUAAUACAUCGGAACGUGCCCGAUCGUGGGGGAUAACGAAGCGAAAGCUUUGCUAAUACCGCAUAAGAUCUACGGAUGAAAGCAGGGGACCGCAAGGCCUUGCGCGAACGGAGCGGCCGAUGGCAGAUUAGGUAGUUGGUGGGAUAAAAGCUUACCAAGCCGACGAUCUGUAGCUGGUCUGAGAGGACGACCAGCCACACUGGGACUGAGACACGGCCCAGACUCCUACGGGAGGCAGCAGUGGGGAAUUUUGGACAAUGGGCGAGAGCCUGAUCCAGCGAUGCCGCGUGCAGGAUGAAGGCCUUCGGGUUGUAAACUGCUUUUGUUCGGAGCGAAAAGACUCUGGUUAAUACCUGGGGUCCAUGACGGUACCGGAAGAAUAAGCACCGGCUAACUACGUG
Molecule: ribosomal RNA, 482 nt
Filed under: uncultured bacterium
Lineage: Bacteria
Description: partial 16S ribosomal RNA
Rfam family: Bacterial small subunit ribosomal RNA
Source: RNAcentral